AGCAUAAAUUACUUGUAAUUUGAUGGCGACCGGCGAACGGGUGCGUAACGCGUAUGCAACUUACCUUUUACUAGAGAAUAGCCAAGAGAAAUUUUGAUUAAUGCUCUAUACUCUUAUUAACUCACAUGAGUUUUUAAGAAAAGCUCCGGCGGUAAAAGAUGGGCAUGCGUCCUAUUAGCUUGUAGGUGAGGUAACGGCUCACCUAAGCUCCGAUAGGUAGGGGUCCUGAGAGGGAGAUCCCCCACACUGGUACUGAGACACGGACCAGACUUCUACGGAAGGCAGCAGUAAGGAAUAUUGGACAAUGGAGGAAACUCUGAUCCAGCGAUGCCGCGUGAAGGAAGACGGCCCUAUGGGUUGUAAACUUCUUUUAUACAGGAAUAAACCUAUCCACGUGUGGAUAGCUGAAGGUACUGUAAGAAUAAGGAUCGGC
This 433-nucleotide ribosomal RNA is filed under the name uncultured Bacteroidota bacterium. RNAcentral describes it as "bacterial SSU rRNA". It matches the Rfam family "Bacterial small subunit ribosomal RNA", at positions 68 to 497 of the family's 1533-position model. The record is from RNAcentral. Lineage: Bacteria; Pseudomonadati; Bacteroidota.